CCAACCCACAGCUUUCAAAGCGUGCUGAUUUCAACUGCUACUCUGAUGCAGCCUGACUGGCUCAUGGAGAAAGCCUACCUAAGAAUGAAGCCGGGACCCGGCAGAAUGGCUCCUGUGAAGAAGGGUGGCAAGAAGAAAAAGGGCCGUUCUGCCAUCAAUGAGGUGGUGACCCGAGAAUACACCAUCAACAUUCACAAGUGCAUCCAUGGAGUGGGCUUCAAGAAGCAUGCCCCUUGAGCACUCAAAGAGAUUCGGAAAUUUGUCAGGAAGGAGAUGGGAACUCUAGAUGUGCACAACUGAUACCAGGCUCAACAAGGCUGUCUGGGCCAAAGGAAUAAGGAAUGUCCCAUGCCGAAUCCAUGUGCAGUUGUCCAGAGAAUAUAAUGAGGAUGAAGAUUCACCAAAUAAGCUCUGUACUUCGGUUACCUAUGUACCUGUUACCACUUUCAAAAAUCUAUAGACAGUCAUUGUGGAUGAGAACUAAUCACUGAUUGUCAACUAUAUCAAACAAAGUUAUAAAACUGC
Molecule: long non-coding RNA, 525 nt
Organism: Homo sapiens (human)
Lineage: Eukaryota; Metazoa; Chordata; Mammalia; Primates; Hominidae
Source: Ensembl